Molecule: ribosomal RNA, 253 nt
Filed under: uncultured bacterium
Lineage: Bacteria
Description: partial 16S ribosomal RNA
Rfam family: Bacterial small subunit ribosomal RNA
Source: RNAcentral
UACGUAGGGUGCAAGCGUUGUCCGGAAUUAUUGGGCGUAAAGAGCUCGUAGGCGGUCUGUCGCGUUGGCUGUGAAAUCCCGAGGCUCAACCUCGGGUCUGCAGUCGAUACGGGCAAACUAGAGUAUUGCAGGGGAGACUGGAAUUCCUGGUGUAGCGGUGAAAUGCGCAGAUAUCAGGAGGAACACCGGUGGCGAAGGCGGGUCUCUGGGCAAUAACUGACGCUGAGGAGCGAAAGCGUGGGGAGCGAACAGG